Molecule: ribosomal RNA, 926 nt
Filed under: Bacillus sp. E4R20_pA
Lineage: Bacteria; Bacillati; Bacillota; Bacilli; Caryophanales; Bacillaceae
Description: bacterial SSU rRNA
Rfam family: Bacterial small subunit ribosomal RNA
Source: RNAcentral
AGAGUUUGAUCCUGGCUCAGGACGAACGCUGGCGGCGUGCCUAAUACAUGCAAGUCGAGCGAAUGAUAGGGAGCUUGCUCCCUUGAUUUAGCGGCGGACGGGUGAGUAACACGUGGGCAACCUACCUGUAAGACUGGGAUAACUUCGGGAAACCGGAGCUAAUACCGGAUAAUUUCUUUUCUCGCAUGAGAAGAGAUGGAAAGACGGUUUCGGCUGUCACUUACAGAUGGGCCCGCGGCGCAUUAGCUAGUUGGUGAGGUAACGGCUCACCAAGGCCACGAUGCGUAGCCGACCUGAGAGGGUGAUCGGCCACACUGGGACUGAGACACGGCCCAGACUCCUACGGGAGGCAGCAGUAGGGAAUCUUCCGCAAUGGACGAAAGUCUGACGGAGCAACGCCGCGUGAACGAAGAAGGCCUUCGGGUCGUAAAGUUCUGUUGUUAGGGAAGAACAAGUACCAGAGUAACUGCUGGUACCUUGACGGUACCUAACCAGAAAGCCACGGCUAACUACGUGCCAGCAGCCGCGGUAAUACGUAGGUGGCAAGCGUUGUCCGGAAUUAUUGGGCGUAAAGCGCGCGCAGGUGGUUCCUUAAGUCUGAUGUGAAAGCCCACGGCUCAACCGUGGAGGGUCAUUGGAAACUGGGGAACUUGAGUGCAGAAGAGGAAAGUGGAAUUCCACGUGUAGCGGUGAAAUGCGUAGAGAUGUGGAGGAACACCAGUGGCGAAGGCGACUUUCUGGUCUGUAACUGACACUGAGGCGCGAAAGCGUGGGGAGCGAACAGGAUUAGAUACCCUGGUAGUCCACGCCGUAAACGAUGAGUGCUAAGUGUUAGAGGGUUUCCGCCCUUUAGUGCUGCAGCUAACGCAUUAAGCACUCCGCCUGGGGAGUACGGCCGCAAGGCUGAAACUCAAAGGAAUUGACGG